GACGAACGCUGGCGGCGUGCUUAACACAUGCAAGUCGAACGGAAAGGCCUCUUUCGGGGGGUACUCGAGUGGCGAACGGGUGAGUAACACGUGAGUAACCUGCCCUUGACUUUGGGAUAACUUCAGGAAACUGGGGCUAAUACCGGAUAGGAGCUCCUGCUGCAUGGUGGGGGUUGGAAAGUUUCGGCGGUUGGGGAUGGACUCGCGGCUUAUCAGCUUGUUGGUGGGGUAGUGGCUUACCAAGGCUUUGACGGGUAGCCGGCCUGAGAGGGUGACCGGCCACAUUGGGACUGAGAUACGGCCCAGACUCCUACGAGAGGCAGCAGUGGGGAAUAUUGCACAAUGGGUGGAAGCCUGAUGCAGCAACGCCGUGUGCGGGAUGACGGCCUUCGGGUUGUAAACCGCUUUCGCUCAUGACGAAGCUUUGUGUGACGUUAGUGGGUAAAGAAGCACCGGCUAACUACGUG
This 467-nucleotide ribosomal RNA is filed under the name uncultured bacterium. Its description in RNAcentral is "partial 16S ribosomal RNA". It matches the Rfam family "Bacterial small subunit ribosomal RNA", at positions 28 to 507 of the family's 1533-position model. The record is from RNAcentral.